Molecule: ribosomal RNA, 460 nt
Filed under: uncultured bacterium
Lineage: Bacteria
Description: partial 16S ribosomal RNA
Rfam family: Bacterial small subunit ribosomal RNA
Source: RNAcentral
CCUACGGGUGGCAGCAGUGAGGAAUAUUGGUCAAUGGACGAGAGUCUGAACCAGCCAAGUAGCGUGAAGGAUGACUGCCCUCUGGGUUGUAAACUUCUUUUAUAUGGGAAUAAAAUGUUCCACGUGUGGGCUUUUGUAUGUACCAUAUGAAUAAGGCUCGGCUAACUCCGUGCCAGCAGCCGCGGUAAUACGGAGGAUCCGCGCGUUAUCCGGAUUUAUUGGGUUUAAAGGGAGCGUAGGUGGAUUGUUAAGUCAGUUGUGAAAGUUUGCGGAUUAACCGUAAAAUUGCAGUUGAAACUGGCAGUCUUGAGUACAGUAGAGGUGGGCGGAAUUCGUGGUGUAGCGGUGAAAUGCUUAGAUAUCACGAAGAACUCCGAUUGCGAAGGCAGCUCACUGGACUGCAACUGACACUGAGGCUCGAAAGUGUGGGUAUCAAACAGGAUUAGAUACCCUAGUAGUC